Molecule: ribosomal RNA, 196 nt
Filed under: Russula sp.
Lineage: Eukaryota; Fungi; Basidiomycota; Agaricomycetes; Russulales; Russulaceae
Description: partial small subunit ribosomal RNA
Rfam family: Eukaryotic small subunit ribosomal RNA
Source: RNAcentral
CCUGCUAAAUAGCCUGUCCGGCUUUUGCUGGUCACUGGCUUCUUAGAGGGACUGUCAGCGUCUAGCUGACGGAAGUUUGAGGCAAUAACAGGUCUGUGAUGCCCUUAGAUGUUCUGGGCCGCACGCGCGAUACACUGACAGAGCCAGCGAGUACAUUUCCUUGGACGAAAGGCCAUGGGUAAUCUUGUGAAACUCU